Molecule: ribosomal RNA, 1292 nt
Filed under: Ornebius kanetataki
Lineage: Eukaryota; Metazoa; Arthropoda; Insecta; Orthoptera; Mogoplistidae
Description: 16S ribosomal RNA
Rfam family: Archaeal large subunit ribosomal RNA (bases 586-1292)
Source: RNAcentral
AAGUUUUGUUUAUUAUUAUUUAUAUGAAGAUUAAUAUUUAAAUUAAAAUUGUAAGAUUUUUAGUACGAUUUGGAAUAUAAAGUAAUAAUUAUAGUGUAUUAGUACUGAAGAGGAAAAAAAUAAGAUAUUUUGAAGAAUAUAUACAUAUAGUAUCUUGUGUAUCAGAGUUUAUUAAAAUAUAAUUUUAUAUUUAAAUGUUCUCGAAUUUUUGGAGAUUUAUUAAUUUAAUUUAGUUAUUGUUGAAUGAUUAUUAAAAAUAUAUUAAUGGGAAUGAAAUGUUUGUCGUUCAAAAAGGUAUCUAGUUUUUUAAGAAAAAAAUUAAAUUUUUGUUUAUAAUUUUUUUUAAUUAUUAAUGGAUUAUAAGAUUAGGAUUUUAGGGAUAAGCUUAGAAUUUAUUAUUAAAUUUUAUAUAUGAAAUAGGGAAAGAAUAUAUUUUAUAGUGAUAAAUUUUUGUAAUGUUUAAUAACUGAUUAUUGUUUAUGAAGAUUUAUGUAAGAUUAAUUUAAAAAUUAAAAUAAUUAGUGAAAUGGGACAAUUAAUGGAAUAAUGAUAAAAUUAGUAAAUAUAAGAUUAAAUUAAGUAUUAAUUGUGAAAAUUUAAUUGAAGGAAUUAGGCAAAUAUGAUGUUUUCGCUUGUUUAUCAAAAACAUGUCUUUAUGGAAUAAGGAAUAUAAGGUUGAACCUGCCCAAUGAAAUAGUUAAAUGGCUGCGGUAUUUUGACCGUGCAAAGGUAGCAUAAUCAUUAGUUUUUUAAUUGGAAACUGGAAUGAAUGGUUUGACGAAAAAUAGUCUGUCUAUUAUUGAAAUAUUGAAGUUUAUUUUUUAGUUAAAAAGCUAAAGUGAAUAUAAGGGACGAGAAGACCCUAUAGAGUUUAUACAUUUAAUGAUUUUAUAAAUUUAGAAGUUAAAGUAUAUUUUGUGUAUAAUUAUUUAAUGUAUUUAAUUGGGGUGAUGAGAGAAAAUAAUUAACUUCUAUUGUAUCAUUACUAGGAUGCUAGGAUAAUUUUUAUGAUCUUGUAUUACGGAUAGAAAGAAAAAAUUACCUUAGGGAUAACAGCGUAAUUUUAUUUGAGAGUUCUAAUCGAUGAUAAAGUUUGCGACCUCGAUGUUGGAUUAAGAUUAUUAUUGGAUGAAGGAGUUCAAUAAAUAGGUCUGUUCGACCUUUAAAUUCUUACAUGAUCUGAGUUCAGACCGGUGAGAGCCAGGUCGGUUUCUAUCUUUAAUAAGCUAUUAUAAUUUAGUACGAAAGGACCAGUUAUAUAAUAAAUUAUUAAUUAAGGAAUAUAAUUAAGU